Molecule: ribosomal RNA, 497 nt
Filed under: uncultured bacterium
Lineage: Bacteria
Description: partial 16S ribosomal RNA
Rfam family: Bacterial small subunit ribosomal RNA
Source: RNAcentral
GAUGAACGCUGGCGGCGUGCCUAAUACAUGCAAGUCGAGCGAAAAGACGAGGAGCUUGCUCCUCUGACGUUAGCGGAGGACGGGUGUGUAACACGUGGAUAACCUACCUGUCAUACUGGGAUAUCUACGGGAAACGGGAGCUUAUACCGUAUAAUAUCUUGCACCGCGGGGUUCAAUAGUAAAAUACGGUGUUUCUGUCUGGUAUAGCUGGAUCCGCGCCGCAUUAGCUAGUUGGUAAGGUAACGGCUUACGAAGGCAAGGAUGCGUAGGCGACCUGAGAGGGGGAUCGGCGACACUGGAGCUGAGACACGGUCCAUGCUCCUACGAGAGGCACCAGUAGGGAAUCUUCCGCAAUGGUCGAAAGCAUGACGGAGCAACGCGGCGUGAGUGACGAAGGUCUUGGGUUCGUAAUACCCUGUUAUGAGGGAAAAACAAAUUUGUAAGUAACUAUGCACGUCUUGACGGUACCUAAUCAGAAAGCCACGGCUAACUACGUG